RNAcentral lists this non-coding RNA (793 nucleotides) under Drosophila persimilis. Its description in RNAcentral is "Eukaryotic large subunit ribosomal RNA". It matches the Rfam family "Eukaryotic large subunit ribosomal RNA", at positions 1 to 665 of the family's 3401-position model. The record is from Rfam by way of RNAcentral. Lineage: Eukaryota; Metazoa; Arthropoda; Insecta; Diptera; Drosophilidae.
CAACCUCAACUCAUAUGGGACUACCCCCUGAAUUUAAGCAUAUUAAUUAGGGGAGGAAAAGAAACUAACCAGGAUUUUCUUAGUAGCGGCGAGCGAAAAGAAAUCAGUUCAGCACUAAGUCACUUUGUCUAUAUGGCAAACGUGAGAUGCAGUGUAUGGAGCGUCAAUAUUCUAGUAUGAGAAAUUAACGAUUUAAGUCCUUCUUAAAUGAGGCCAUUUACCCAUAGAGGGUGCCAGGGCCCGUAUAACGUUAAUGAUUACUAGAUGAUGUUUCCAAAGAGUCGUGUUGCUUGAUAGUGCAGCACUAAGUGGGUGGUAAACUCCAUCUAAAACUAAAUAUAACCAUGAGACCGAUAGUAAACAAGUACCGUGAGGGAAAGUUGAAAAGAACUCUGAAUAGAGAGUUAAACAGUACGUGAAACUGCUUAGAGGUUAAGCCCGAUGAACCUGAAUAUCCGUUAUGGAAAAUUCAUCAUUAAAGUUGUAAUAUUUUAACAAUAUUAUAAUAAUAGUGUGCAUUUUUUCCAUAUAAGGACAUUGUAAUCUAUUAGCAUAUAACAAAUUUAUCAUAAAAUAUGACUUAUAGUUUAUUCAAAUUAUUAUGCUUGCAUUUUAACAUAGAAUAAAUGUCAUUAAUUUGAUAAAGUGUUGAUAAAUUAAAAUUAAUACAGUGCGUUAAUUUUUCGAAAUUAUAUAAUGGCAUAAUUAUCAUGAUUUUCGUGUUUAUUAUAUGCAUUUGUAUGAUACAAUGCGAAAGAUUCAGGAUACUUCGGGACCCGUCUUGAAACACGGA